This 253-nucleotide ribosomal RNA is filed under the name uncultured bacterium. Its description in RNAcentral is "partial 16S ribosomal RNA". It matches the Rfam family "Bacterial small subunit ribosomal RNA", at positions 524 to 776 of the family's 1533-position model. The record is from RNAcentral.
UACAUACUGUGCGAACGUUAUUCGGAUUCACUGGGCUUAAAGGGUGCGUAGGUGGCAUGUUAAGUAGGGCGUGAAAUCCCCCAGCUCAACUGGGGAACUGCGUUCUAAACUGGCGUGCUAGAGUGAGAUAGGGGUGUCCGGAACUGCCAGUGGAGCGGUGAAAUGUGUUGAUAUUGGCAGGAACGCCGGUGGCGAAAGCGGGACACUGGGUCUCAACUGACACUGAGGCACGAAAGCCAGGGGAGCGAACGGG